RNAcentral lists this unclassified non-coding RNA (347 nucleotides) under uncultured Ascomycota. RNAcentral describes it as "sequence contains ITS2". The stretch from base 1 to 154 matches the Rfam family "5.8S ribosomal RNA". The record is from RNAcentral. Lineage: Eukaryota; Fungi; Ascomycota.
AACUUUUGACAAUGGAUCUCUUGGCUCUCGCAUCGAUGAAGAACGCAGCGAAAUGCGAUAAGUAAUGUGAAUUGCAGAAUUUUGUGAAUCAUCGAAUCUUUGAACGCACAUUGCGCCUCCUGGCAUUCCGGGGGGCACACCUGUUCGAGCGCCGUUUAACACCUAAGGCUCGGCCUUGCGUUGACCGUUCCCGUUCCGGGAGCGGUCGAAAAACAUGAAGACUCCAAAGAUGGAAGCAGUACGCAAAAGUAUUUGUGACCAGGCCUUUGGGUCUUGAUAUCCUGACGUAUGGCCUCGGAUCAGGUGGGGAUACCCGCUGAACUUAAGCAUAUCAAUAAGCGGAGGCU